RNAcentral lists this non-coding RNA (22 nucleotides) under Rattus norvegicus (Norway rat). Lineage: Eukaryota; Metazoa; Chordata; Mammalia; Rodentia; Muridae. The record is from RNAcentral.
UGAAGGGCAGCACAGUAUAAGG